AAGUAUCCAAAAAUUAUAAACUCUACAUGAAAAUCACCAUCAAUAAGUCCAGAACAAGCACAAAAAUUUUCAUUCAUUUCUUUAAAGGUAUGAGCAUUUCAUGAAGGUUUUGGCAAAACAUACAAAAAUGUGACACAUUCCACAAACCCUAGGCCAAUUAUUUUUCUACACAUGCAAAAAAUCCACAAAAAUAACCAUUAAAUUCUACACAUUACAAGAAGAACAAUUCAAAAAGUCUCACUCAAAUUGGAUGGAAAAUGAAGCCUAUAGGAAUUUUUGAAGUUCUU
RNAcentral lists this long non-coding RNA (287 nucleotides) under Lathyrus oleraceus (garden pea). Its description in RNAcentral is "Pisum sativum (pea) long non-coding RNA (PSAT_LNC021651)". The record is from RNAcentral. Lineage: Eukaryota; Viridiplantae; Streptophyta; Magnoliopsida; Fabales; Fabaceae.